This 404-nucleotide ribosomal RNA is filed under the name uncultured Spirochaeta sp. Its description in RNAcentral is "bacterial SSU rRNA". It matches the Rfam family "Bacterial small subunit ribosomal RNA", at positions 976 to 1382 of the family's 1533-position model. Lineage: Bacteria; Pseudomonadati; Spirochaetota; Spirochaetia; Spirochaetales; Spirochaetaceae. The record is from RNAcentral.
AGGGCUUUGACAUAUACAGGAAUGUUGUAGAGAUACAGCAGCCGCUUGCGGUCUGUAUACAGGUGCUGCAUGGCUGUCGUCAGCUCGUGCUGUGAAGUGUUGGGUUAAGUCCCGCAACGAGCGCAACCCUAUCAUCUGUUGCCAGCAUUUAAGGUGGGGACUCAGAUGAGACUGCCGGUGACAAACCGGAGGAAGUGGGGACGACGUCAAGUCAUCAUGGCCCUUAUGUCCUGGGCUACACACGUGCUACAAUGGCCGGUACAGAGUGAAGCGAAACCGCGAGGUGAAGCAAAACGCAGAAAGCCGGUCUCAGUACGGAUUGGAGUCUGAAACUCGACUUCAUGAAGUUGGAAUCGCUAGUAAUCGCGCAUCAGCAUGGCGCGGUGAAUACGUUCCCGGGCCUU